UGCACUAAUGAUUAAUUCAACUGAUCAAAAAAUAAGCAUUAAUGUCAAUUUUGAAAUGCUGUGGCUUUAAAAACUGUAAAGGGGGAUAAGUGGGAACAGAAAACAAGGGAGUUUAAAGUCAUGGCCUGGAUUAAACAUACUUUAGGCUAAAUUUAUUCUAGCAGUUCUGGCCUCUUUGGAAUAGACACUAGAGAAAAUUGCUGGGUUUUUGGAACAGUCAUAUUUUCUGCAACUUUCACUCUCAUCCGCUUUCCUCCUGUCAUCAUCAUCUUGGUCUCAAGAAAGAGGCUGCUUGAUUUGUUUAUGGAAACCUGAUGACAGAAGUUGAAGAAACAGGAAGGUGAGGAAAUCUCUCUGCUCUUAAUCCUAGGAGCAAGACAAAUAUAAUCCAUCCUUCAAGCAACAUUUGGCUCUAAUAAUUAUCCUACAACAGGAAGGGACAUUGCCCAGACUGUAUGCAAUGUUCAUGAAGAGAGAAUCAGAAAAGUGGAGAAGCUUUACAAAGAAACCAACCAAAAGUGGUCUGAAGAAGAAUCCUGUGUAGAUCCUCCAUGAAGCAAGGAGAAAGCAAUUGACUUUGGGAAUUCUACUGUUUUCCUUGGGGUAAUAACGUUCCUCCUCUGAUUUGAACAAGUCUAAUUCUUUUUUGUUAUACAUUCAUAACUUCAUGGUAAUAUCAGUAGUUUAAACUGUUAUAUAUGGAUUUGUACCUUUGAACUUCUUUCAAAAUGUUUCAUAUGAGUACUUUUCCCCAAAUACACUGAUAYAAUUUUAUGAAAUAAACUUGGUGAUUUGAUUUCA
This 801-nucleotide long non-coding RNA is filed under the name Dromaius novaehollandiae (emu). Its description in RNAcentral is "lncRNA (ENSDNVG00000005110.1)". Lineage: Eukaryota; Metazoa; Chordata; Aves; Casuariiformes; Dromaiidae. The record is from RNAcentral.